This 24-nucleotide non-coding RNA is filed under the name Arabidopsis thaliana (thale cress). The record is from RNAcentral. Lineage: Eukaryota; Viridiplantae; Streptophyta; Magnoliopsida; Brassicales; Brassicaceae.
AGCUUCUGUUGGUCGAGUAAAGUA